AUUGAACGCUGGCGGCAUGCUUUACACAUGCAAGUCGAACGGCAGCGCGGGCUUCGGCCUGGCGGCGAGUGUCGAACGGGUGAGUAAUGCAUCGGAACGUGCCCAGUAGUGGGGGAUAGCCCGGCGAAAGCCGGAUUAAUACCGCAUACGACCUGAGGGUGAAAGCGGGGGACCGAAAGGCCUCGCGCUAUUGGAGCGGCCGAUGUCGGAUUAGCUAGUUGGUGGGGUAAAGGCUUACCAAGGCGACGAUCCGUAGCUGGUCUGAGAGGACGACCAGCCACACUGGGACUGAGACACGGCCCAGACUCCUACGGGAGGCAGCAGUGGGGAAUUUUGGACAAUGGGGGCAACCCUGAUCCAGCCAUGCCGCGUGCGGGAAGAAGGCCUUCGGGUUGUAAACCGCUUUUGUUCGGGAAGAAAUCCUCUGGGCUAAUACCCCGGGGGGAUGACGGUACCGGAAGAAUAAGCACCGGCUAACUACGUG
RNAcentral lists this ribosomal RNA (484 nucleotides) under uncultured bacterium. Its description in RNAcentral is "partial 16S ribosomal RNA". It matches the Rfam family "Bacterial small subunit ribosomal RNA", at positions 28 to 507 of the family's 1533-position model. The record is from RNAcentral.